Molecule: ribosomal RNA, 506 nt
Filed under: uncultured bacterium
Lineage: Bacteria
Description: partial 16S ribosomal RNA
Rfam family: Bacterial small subunit ribosomal RNA
Source: RNAcentral
AGUGAACGCUGGCGGUAGGCCUAACACAUGCAAGUCGAACGGCAGCACAGAGGAGCUUGCUCUCUGGGUGGCGAGUGGCGGACGGGUGAGGAAUACAUCGGAAUCUACUUUUUCGUGGGGGAUAACGUAGGGAAACUUACGCUAAUACCGCAUACGACCUACGGGUGAAAGCAGGGGAUCUUCGGACCUUGCGCGAUUGAAUGAGCCGAUGUCGGAUUAGUUAGUUGGCGGGGUAAAGGCCAACCAAGGCGACGAUCCGUAGCUGGUCUGAGAGGAUGAUCAGCCACACUGGAACUGAGACACGGUCCAGACUCCUACGGGAGGCAGCAGUGGGGAAUAUUGGACAAUGGGCGCAAGCCUGAUCCAGCCAUACCGCGUGGGUGAAGAAGGCCUUCGGGUUGUAAAGCCCCUUUGUUGGGAAAGAAAUCCAGCUGGUUAAUACCCGGUUGGGAUGACGGUACCCAAAGAAUAAGCACCGGCUAACUUCGUGCCAGCCGCCGCGGUAA